GUUUUAAUAAUUUAAUAUAAAAUAUUGGUCUUGUAAACCAGAAAUAAGGUAAUCUUUUAAAACU
Molecule: transfer RNA, 64 nt
Filed under: Rhabdoblatta omei
Lineage: Eukaryota; Metazoa; Arthropoda; Insecta; Blattodea; Blaberidae
Description: tRNA-Thr
Rfam family: tRNA
About the family: Transfer RNA (tRNA) molecules are approximately 80 nucleotides in length. Their secondary structure includes four short double-helical elements and three loops (D, anti-codon, and T loops).
Source: RNAcentral